CUACGGGUCGCUGCAGUGAGGAAUAUUGGACAAUGGGCGAAAGCCUGAUCCAGCAAUACCACGUGAGUGAUGAAGGCCUUCGGGUUGUAAAGCUCUUUUAACAGGGAAGAUAAUGACGGUACCUGUAGAAAAAGCACCGGCUAAUUCCGUGCCAGCAGCCGCGGUAAUACGGAAGGUGCUAGCGUUGUUCGGAUUUAUUGGGCGUAAAGCGUACGUAGGCGGUUUAGUGUGUUAGAUGUGAAAGCCCAGGGCUUAACCUUGGAAUUGCAUUUAAAACUGCUAGACUUGAGUAUAACAUGGGAUGGCGGAAUUUCUAGUGUAGGGGUGAAAUCCGUAGAUAUUAGAAGGAACACCAGUAGUGCAGACGGCCACCUUGGUUAUCACUGACGCUAAGGUACGAAAGCGUGGGUAGCAAACAGGAUUAGAUACCCGAGUAGUC
Molecule: ribosomal RNA, 439 nt
Filed under: uncultured bacterium
Lineage: Bacteria
Description: partial 16S ribosomal RNA
Rfam family: Bacterial small subunit ribosomal RNA
Source: RNAcentral